This is a non-coding RNA of Phalacrocorax carbo (great cormorant), 4144 nucleotides long. The record is from RefSeq and is a predicted model, not a curated record. NCBI's taxonomy places the organism in Eukaryota, Metazoa, Chordata, Aves, Suliformes, Phalacrocoracidae.
GGCGCUCGGUGCGCCGGAGGCCGCCCUGCGGGAGACCCGGCCCCGGGCCGCCCCCCGCGCUGCCGGCAGCUCGCAUCGGUCCCACCGCCCACCCCCCGCCAGCUGCUGCGGCACCGAGCGUGGCUCCGCUUCGCCGGGCUGCGCCCCGCUCGGUACCCACGGAGCAACCCGGCCGUGCCGCCGCGGGGUUUUGCCGUUACCGCCGCUGGUCGGGGGCGAAACCAGACAUUUUGCAUCACCGCCCAGGCCGGGCGCCGGGCCGGGCGCGGCGUGCUCAGGCCGGGAGCGCGGUCCCGAGAAACCCGGGGCCCGCAGCACCCGGCCCUGCCUCAGCCCCGCUCCCCCGCGGGCUUCGUGUCCCCCCACUCAAAGUUGGGCGUCCUCAAGGAGCGUUUCCUUGUUGAAGCUUAAGAUUUGGGGUCGGGAAGGGGAGUUUAAGCUUCUGUUGUGGCGUCUUUUCUUUUCGUGCCUCUAAGUAUUUCCAGAUGGGGAUUUAGACACCAGACGUAACAAUAUUUCCAUAUUUGGUAUAGCAGUAGCCUGCAUUUUUCACAUUUUUCUGCUCUGUUAUCCAACCACAAAGCAUUCUUGACAGCUUCAGAUGUUGUUAAAUAUAGCCUUAACUUCUGUUCCCAGGGCAGGAAAUUCUUUGGAAUUCCUGUUUUUUCACGCAAUCUGUCUAUCAUGAUUUAGGAGAAUUGCGCUGGAGGAGCCAACUGGCGUUAUACUGCAGUUCGCUCCUUUAUUGAAAAAAGCCCAGCAGUUGAGCCUGCUACCCAACGGCGUUGCAAUAAGUCCCCAUUCCAGGGAUUUUUCUUUGCAAAUUAGUGAGUGUCUGGGCGCGCCGCUCCUCACGGACGGGCAUUUCGGGAGGGGAGGCGGGGGCAGCCCCGCCGCUCGGAGGAGCGAAGCCCAGACGUCUCGUCGCCUGCCCGGUGCCACGGCCGAAAGGGUUACAGAAAGGACCGUUUCCCGGGAGCCGCGCACAUGGCCGCGGGAUGACUUCUUUACAUGGCAGCAUUGUGAUCAGGAGGAACAAGUUUGUGAUUCAACACACCUCGAUUAAUGAACAUUUUGAAAAUUUUUCGAAAAUUUUUCAAAAAUUUUGAAAAAAAGCAGAAGGAGCUGGCGCACCAAUGCGCAGUUAAACUGGCCAGUUUUGCUUUUCAGGGAUUUAUGCAAACACUUGUUUAUUUAAUUCCAUCUAAUUUAAGGACAGGCACCGAGCGUUUCGCUUUGAUCUAUGACUUUCACAACAUCCAGCAAAUGCCACAGGAAAAGUCAAUGAAUAGCGCCUUUUCUCACUUGGGUUUGUGUCUUACCACACAUUCACACAACUUUGGUGGGAAACUGUAACCGAACCUACCUUUGCUCAAAAAAAAAGGUCACUUCGAAAGCUUUGAAGCACCUUUUAACAGACCUGUCCUUAAUUUCAAGUAGUUGACAACACUUGAGAUGGGUUGAGUUUCUCUGGAGUUCAGGUUAGACUGUGACCCUUUCAUAGGCUUUCCCUGCACACGUUUCCCUGUCACAAGCCGUGACCCAGCAUUUACCUUCCAGGCUGUGCCUACACCUCCCGGAUGCACGUCAGGAAACAGGGAAAAGUUUGGAAUAUCUUCCUUUUUAGAUUUUGUUCAGUGUAAUGUGCUGUUCCAGACCUUUGUUGUGCUAAGUGAACUGGGAAACACUCCCUGCUUCACGUCAUGAAGAGUAUUUCACUGGCUUCUUGCUUUUUGUGCCAUAGGCAAUCGCUGUCUGUCAGGCCUGCGUCUCUCUGGGGAAAGGACUUUCCAGCAAAACAAAUCAAGAAAAAAAAAAAUAAUAACUGAGUGGUUUAUCUUCCCUCCGCCCAGCGUCAGCUCUCGUGGCCAUGCGUAGGGACCGCGGAGCAGCGUGAAGUGCCGUGUAGGACGGAGGCUCCUCCGGGUGCCGGUGUUCCCACUGAUACAUUUGUGCACUGAGAGGCACUUUGCUUUGUAGGCAUGCUGCAUUUUCCUCUGGCUGCUGUCAAGGUGUCGCAGAGGUUCCUGUUGUGUGAAAGUGGAAGGGGGACUUGUGAGCCGCCUCACUCUGCAGGGAAACAGGAGGGAAUUUGGCAGUAAUAUUCAGUCAUGCUCAUUGCUGCUUUGGUGUGUGAACUGCACUGCUACACAGAUAGACCUUACACAGCCACGAGGGACGCAGCAGCACAACAGAGGCAAGAAGCAUCCCUGCCGGUGCUCAGCGCGCUCCUGUUGACCGGCUGACCGGCAGUACGUGCUGCCCGGCUUUCUCACCCCAAGCCGGAUGCAGAAAUGCAAAGCAGUUACAGCCAACUCCUGCUUAGUUCUUCUUUCCCAGUCAGAGACUCAAAAUACCUUAGUCACAGUCAUUCAGGAUCUGGCAUUAACUUUAUUUUAGUACCAGCCACUGCAGUUUCCCCAGUAAGACAGGUGGAUUACUCAGUAUAUACUCACCUACUCUCGUGCAUGUGUACUUCAACACUAGGCUACAUUCAGAGGGUGCAGUUUGCAUCAGCCACAUCCCUAUAGCUGAAGUUUGCAAUGAAGACUAUUACAGGCUUCAGCUUUCCAUACCACAAAAACAAACAAACAAACAAACAAAAAAAAGAACAGGUGGUCCUAGCUAGCACCUGGCUGCACCUGGAUUUCUUAGUCGUGUCUGUUAUCCCAUGCAGUGAUGUAGCUUGCAGAUGAUAGCAAUAUAGCCUGAAAUCUCUUUAUAUAUUCUAGAAAAAAAAAAAAUCACAGCCAUGUCUCCUGAGUUCCCUGAAGGAGGCUGGGGCAUCAUCAGCAUACUUGUCGUCUUUCUCAGUGUCAGCUGAGAUGGUCUCGGACAGGGAUCCCACCCCAGAGAGUUCAUCAUCCCAAAUGACCUCAGUAGAGACUUCUUUAAACCCUGCUUCUCAGGGUGCAGCAUUUCCCCGUGGAGCAGUGCCUGCAAACUGUCAUCUGUUAAGAUGAAGUGAGCAAGUUCAAGGGAAAAUUGCUCGUGAUGGCAAGGAGUUACUGGAGCUAGCUGAACCUGAUUGCAAUCAGUCAGGUUGUGCCUGAGAAAUCCUUGAUCAAAGCCCACUCCAGGCUGUGGUCCAUAAUGGUUGUCAGCUGCUGUCCGCCUCAGCCUACAGCGUAACCACACCUUGGAGGCAACUGUUCCUGCUUUUGUCUGUGUUGUGGGGCUGUGUGCCCCGGAACGUGCUUCCUUCGGUAUGUUCAGGUUUGUUGCUUGUUUCUUUUCUUUUUUCUACAUUUGAAAUACAUGGCAAACUCUUGUUUCUCCAGAAGUGGUUUGUUUCAUUAUAGCUAAUAAUCACAGCUAUGUUUCCUUGAGGUUAGUCUGUGUCAAAGCUAAGGGAACCCUCUGCCUUCCUUUGGGUGCUUUCCCUUCCUGCUGUUUGUGAUCUGAUGGAACAGUUUCUUGUCGCUGAUAUAGGGACGUUCAAAGGGCUUGCCUAGCCUUUGGUUUUAAGAACACAUUUUUAUGGCUAUUUUCUUGAAAAAAAAAGAAAAAAAAAGUUUUGAUUAAUAUCCUUUUUUGUUUUUUCCUUUUGCUUGCAAAUAGAAGGGGAGGCCUGAUCUGGCAGGGUGCUGAACAUGCUCUGCCACACAGUGAAUUCUGUCACUUACUGUGCUUUCCAGGCUAGCUGCUGGAAAUGUCACAGGAUUAAUUUCAGAAUCCCUUGAGGUCCCUGUUGGCUUUGUCCAGAAUCAUUACUCAUUCUCUGCUACGUACACAAGCUUAUUAAAACACGGUGAGACCUUAGUUGUGUUUGCUGCAUUACUGUUUAUUUCCAUUCUGUUCCAUCUGGGCUCUCACCCUUUGCUUUCCAGUAUGUUACAUGAGCACCUUGCAGUGGCAGCUGGCUGAGUUCUCUUGUGCAUGGUUAUUUUAUGGCACACAUGAGCUAACCGACGCAAGGAAGCCAGCCACGACCUCCUCCAGGGCUGCUCUGCUGCUGGAGAUCAGUCACUUGCACCCUUCCUUGGCUUGUGCCCCUUGCUUCUAGUCUGUGAUAGAGUAGUGCGAGAAUCAAUAGCAGACAAAUAAGUAGACACGAUGUCAUCCUUGCAGAUAGGGAGGACUUGCAGGCAGCCAAUAGAUCGUGUAUGUGCUUUAAGAAUGUUUGUGGAGACGGAGUUACAAU